RNAcentral lists this long non-coding RNA (355 nucleotides) under Brassica napus (rape). RNAcentral describes it as "long non-coding RNA (BNAP_LNC014179)". The record is from RNAcentral. Lineage: Eukaryota; Viridiplantae; Streptophyta; Magnoliopsida; Brassicales; Brassicaceae.
GAAGAAUUCACAAUGGAAUAAGAAACGAGGAGAUAUUAGUCCAGAUUUUUCUUGCAAUAAUAUAUUAGGAAGAUGUACUAUGAAUGACAAAUUCUAAUAUGUGAUGCAUGAUUGCUCAUAGCUGACUGGAAUGUCACUCAGACGAACCUACAAGCUCCAUUCCGGUAAAGCUGUGCUAAAAUUGUGUUACUAGAUUGGUUACGUAAUGUCAUGAGACCAGUUAAUCGAUAAAGAAAUGUGAUUUGCGUGAAAAUUUGAUAAUCAAGCGUGAUUCAGCUGUGUAUUAACGAACGCAAGUGUGCUUAAACUGUUACUAGCUAGAACCAAAAGCAGAAUUUGCAAUCCAACGGUUUAA